UCUGAUUUUAGCUUCCUGAUUUGGACUUUGGAUUCUAGUGGACUUUUUGAUUUUGCUUGCUGUGUUGGCAACUCGUGCUAAAGAGGGAUACUUACUCUGGUGAGACUCUUGCCUCCUUGACAUUUGAUACUGCCUUUUGCAGCUCAGUCUCUUCAGCAUCAGUCCUUUGGUUGGUGAACUGCUUGACUGCAGACACUCAUGAACUGUCUUUCCAGAUAAUGCCUUGAUGACAGACUUUAUGGAAGGAGAUUUCCCUUCCAAACAAUAAUCUCUUUUUCCUCCUUGCUGUCUUCUAUACACCAAGAAGAGUCUUCAUGAAGCCAAAAAUUGUCAUUGGUCUGGAAUGUCAUUCCUCAGAAGAAUUUGCAAGUAAAACUAAGUUGCUAAGUUGUUGAUGAGUAUCAGCCCCCACCCCAACCCUCAUCUGCUAUGGACAUAUAGAAUCAGGACUGAGAAUAAACUGUACUUUGGAGAUAUGGCAAAUUCACACCUAUUGCGAAAGAAAACCAAGCUCAAAUGGUUGCCAUGGGAGCACAUAAAGAGUACAAAAAAAUCACCUGCCUUUCUUCAUGGAAGUAGUGGAGUGCCAGGAGAUAGCUUCUUUGAAUUUAAGCACCAUGAUUUGCAGCAAGAAGUGAUGAGCAGCAUCCUGAGUUUUUGAAUUGGACCACUUGACAAGAAAAAAUGUUUAUAGUUCUGAGAUCUAUUUGGUUAUGAAGAGAUGUCGAAUAGCUCUCUGCCAAAAUAAAGAAAGCAGUUUUGUCUCUUCUAA
Molecule: long non-coding RNA, 772 nt
Filed under: Monodelphis domestica (gray short-tailed opossum)
Lineage: Eukaryota; Metazoa; Chordata; Mammalia; Didelphimorphia; Didelphidae
Description: lncRNA (ENSMODG00000031147.2)
Source: RNAcentral